Pogona vitticeps (central bearded dragon) is the source of this 460-nucleotide non-coding RNA. Lineage: Eukaryota; Metazoa; Chordata; Lepidosauria; Squamata; Agamidae. The record is from RefSeq and is a predicted model, not a curated record.
CGCUUGCUCUCUCUCUCUCUCUCCUCUCUCUCUUUCUCUCGUCUCUGUGGUUUGUAAGGUAGGUUGCAGUGUGUGUAUAUACACAACAUCAAGAGCAGGAAAAUGGACUCAUUAGGGAGGCAGGCAGUCAUUACCAUUCACACUGCACUUCCAGGGAGACAGCGACUAUGAGGAGACACACUGAGGACUGGGGAACAAGCACUACAGAAAAGAAGUGUUAAGAAUUCCUGUUAAUCAUUUCAGAAUCAGAAGAAAAAAGAAUGCCUGAAGUUACAUUUUAGAUGCUGAAAUCACUGCACCUUAAAAACAAAAAAACUUCUGUCCUGUUGUGAUCAGUUCCAAAAUGAUGAAGCUUUGGACUUCUAUCUGACUAAUUAAAAAACACUAGGAGAUAACAAGAAAACUGCAAGCAGUUCAGAAUUACACAGCACCAAACAGACACAAAACUGUUUUCUGUAAG